CCCGGCCGGGGAGGCGGGCCUUGUGUGUCCGGGACGGUGACAAAAGGAGGGAAGCCGAGGGCCGUUUGCGACCGGGGAGGUCGAGCGUGGGGUUGGCGCUCCGGACCCCGGAGGCGCCCUCGGUCGGUCGCGCACCCCUCGGCCUCCACGCAGGCACCUGGCGGGUCCGCCCCGGCGCGGAGAGCGAAGGUAGCGGCGACGACAGCGCCCCCUCUGGCCCGGCGUUGCCGCCUCAGGCGCGGCGGGCGGGCGGGCGGGCGGGCAGGCCGGGCGGCGGGGCCGUUUGCCCGGCGCGGCGCCCGCUCGGGCCCUCCCCACCUGGGCCGGGCCCGAAGCCAGGCCUGGGCCCGCGGCCUCCGGGGUCUUGGAGCUGCUGUCCAGCUCGCGGGCGGCUUGGGGCAUCUUCCCUCAGGGCCUCUCGGGGUCCCGGGAAAUGGGGACGUUGACGCCGUCGGUGAAAAAGGGGUUCCGAGCCUUGAAAAAGUUUGGGGCAGGAUCCGAAGUUUCUUAGGCAGUGAGAGGGCUAAGGGACACCCGUCUUGGGUCCCGGGUGGAUGGGGAGACGGGGGACCUUCGGUGUUCGGAGGCGGACGAGGAAGCCGGAGUCGGGUCCACCUGCAGGGCGGGCAGAAUCCCUCCCGUGGCUUCGCCGGUGACGCUUGCUGCCGUCUGGUGGGCAUCCUCCAGCAGCGGAGCAGGGCUUCUGGUGUCGCUUGCUGCCUACUGGUGGGCAUCCUCGCAGCAGCGGAGCAGGGCUUCUGGUGUCGCUUGCUGCCGUCUGGUGGGCAUCCUCCAGCAGCGGAGAAGGGCUUCUGCUGUCGCUUGCUGCCUACUGGUGGGCAUCCUCGCAGCAGCGGAGAAGGGCUUCUGGUGUCGCCGGGGAGUGGUGUCUGGGUGUCCCCCUCGCCCCGGGGGCAGAAGUGUGAGCUCCAGGGAGGGUCUCCAGUAGGCAGGGCUCUUGUAAGGGCUGCAGAAGAGUUAAUGAUGUGUGUGGAAGAAAAAAGAACAUCAAGGCAGGAAACCGCAGAGUGA
RNAcentral lists this long non-coding RNA (1032 nucleotides) under Sus scrofa (pig). Its description in RNAcentral is "lncRNA (ENSSSCG00070013023.1)". Lineage: Eukaryota; Metazoa; Chordata; Mammalia; Artiodactyla; Suidae. The record is from RNAcentral.